This 244-nucleotide ribosomal RNA is filed under the name uncultured Actinomycetales bacterium. RNAcentral describes it as "partial 16S ribosomal RNA". It matches the Rfam family "Bacterial small subunit ribosomal RNA", at positions 89 to 334 of the family's 1533-position model. The record is from RNAcentral. Lineage: Bacteria; Bacillati; Actinomycetota; Actinomycetes; Actinomycetales.
GCUCGAGUGGCGAACGGGUGAGUAACACGUGAGUAACCUGCCCUUGACUUUGGGAUAACUUCGGGAAACUGGGGCUAAUACCGGAUAGGAGCUCCUGCUGCAUGGUGGGGGCUGGAAAGUUUCGGCGGUUGGGGAUGGACUCGCGGCUUAUCAGCUUGUUGGUGGGGUAGUGGCUUACCAAGGCUUUGACGGGUAGCCGGCCUGAGAGGGUGACCGGCCACAUUGGGACUGAGAUACGGCCCAG